GCGGGGAUAGCUCAGUUGGGAACUUGGGAGAGCGUCAGACUUAAGAUCUGAAGGUCGCGUGUUUGAUCCACGCUCAACGCA
Triticum urartu is the source of this 81-nucleotide non-coding RNA. The record is from Rfam. NCBI's taxonomy places the organism in Eukaryota, Viridiplantae, Streptophyta, Magnoliopsida, Poales, Poaceae.